GUCAGAUUUCGUUACAUUGAGCACAGCUGUUUAACUCAGGAAUCAGCUGGACACAACGGAAAAUGACAGAACACGGUACCAGCAGCAGAAGCCCUCUUUGAUGUGUGUUCACUUAAAAACAAGAAGAAGACGACCACAGAUUUAAGCUUCAGCUUGUUUUGAGGCUGUGCACCCCUUUCUCACUCCCCUACAUCAUCACUAAUUGAAUAAAUCAGGGCUGAAUCCUUGGUGUGUGCAGGUGAAGCAAAAAAGCUUUGGGAGUAAAAAGGUAAGAAGAGUCAGAAAUAAGGGGUAGCAAUGCUUGCAAGUUUUUCUUAAAUAGGUCUCAUAGAUCACUUACUAUGUCCCAGCACCUAUGGGGAAAAGUAGCAGGUGUGUAAAAAUCUUGUGAUUUACUUUUGUGUAUGUCAACAGCCUAGGUCUUUUACCUGGAUGUUUUUAAUGGUUGU
Long non-coding RNA from Thunnus maccoyii (southern bluefin tuna), 449 nucleotides. RefSeq lists it as uncharacterized. The transcript has 3 exons. NCBI's taxonomy places the organism in Eukaryota, Metazoa, Chordata, Actinopteri, Scombriformes, Scombridae. The record is from RefSeq and is a predicted model, not a curated record.